Scatophagus argus is the source of this 1801-nucleotide long non-coding RNA. RefSeq lists it as uncharacterized. The record is from RefSeq and is a predicted model, not a curated record. The transcript is spliced from 3 exons. NCBI's taxonomy places the organism in Eukaryota, Metazoa, Chordata, Actinopteri, Scatophagidae.
UUCAGUUAACUGUCAGUUUGUUGGGGUUUGCUGCCUUUCUUUUGUUUUGUACAUCCUGAGUUUGCUGUAUUCCCUGCGUUAUUUGGAUUAUUCUUCGUGUUCUUCAAUUUUACCUGGACUAUCAGCUGCCCUUUGUUUGCUUCUGUUCCUUUACUGAUGUACUCUGGCUCUGUGCACCAAGCCGGUGAACCACCCACCAGCUGUCCUUGCGAUGUCAGCGAUGUGAAGAGUUUGAUAAAACCACAGAUGGCACGCUGCUCCCACCCAUCCAUAAGUGCCAUUCCUGAUGUGUUGCCACAUAAAUGGAGUCGAUACAGUUUCUACGGCUGGAGCUGAAAAAUUGAUUAAGAUGGAGAGAGGGGAAGGUCCUAUGGAUGCUGGUCCUUGACUUUGGACAAGCUGACAAAAUCAGGCCUUUGCAUCUCUAGCAUCUUCUUUAGCUCCAUAGGUUGGUUGAAAACACCAUUUCCAACUGACUUUAGUUUCCACUUUGAGUCAUGUUAAAAGAGGAACCCUAUAGGAAGCCCUAUAUCCACCUAGAGGUGAAUAUGAACCUGCUGGAUACAUGGCCUAAAUUGUAUUGUGCUAAAAGACAGGCUGUCAGUUGUGGAUUAUCGUUUGAUAUAGUCACUUUAGGACUGGUUUAGAGCUCUUGUAUCUUGGGGUUAGUUAAGGUUGUUUCCUAAAGGUUAUGUUAAGAAAGGUUAUAUUAUUGCUUUGAAUAAAGCCCAUUGCUCACCGCUUCCACAGAUGAAGAAAUGAGAAGCUUGACAGGCCUGCAGCACCUGUUACUGCUGCUGACCGAUGGAUUGGAGUUUUGGGGAGUAGUUCAGCAAAUGGCCAAUUCCGUGAUUUACAGGUUUAUUUUCCAAUUAUAAUCUGUUGACAAUCACAUAGUUGCUUCUUGUGUGUGUGUGUGUGUCCCAACAGACCAUCACUCUGCAGUUAAACAGUGUGUUAACCCAUUUAUAAAAACCUCAUCUUAGUUUUCCAGAGGUUGCUUUCCCAGGCAAGAGCCUCUGUCAAAAAAGGCAUUCGCUACUCUUUUCAUCAACAGUGUCAUUUAAUGAGAGGCACUUACAGUAGACUCUAACACAAUUAGGUGUUUCAUGGCAACCUCGGGAGUAAAAUUAAUCUCUCAAAUGAAAUUGGUCUCAGUGCUCAAUAUGUCACCCAGUGGGAUGCAACUUCAUUUCUAUUCAUUGACCCUCCAUGAAUUAAAGCUCAUUUCCUGUACGUGUCGCUUCACGGAGGCUCCCACAGCGGGAUGCGGGCUUUCAACCACACUAGCUCCCAAAAAAAAAAAAAAAAAACAACCUUCCCCUCUUUCCAUUUGAUUCAAGGAUUAUAUCUGAUUAAAGAUUUGAGCUGGACAACCUCUGCGACAGACGUGCAAUCUCCUUUUGUCCAAGUCCUCUUGUUAAAUUUACAUAAAGCUGAUGGGGAUUUUGGCUUGCGAUUCUGCUGAUUCUCCCACGUUUGCUAUGCACAACAACGACUACGUUACAGCACAUCAGGAGAAAAAAAACAACCUUAGUCAUAGAACUCAGAAGUCAUUUGUUGAUUGAUAUAUUGUUGCCAGGAACUGUUGCUUCAGUGAAUAGGUCAAUGAUUGGUAUUGAUAGCUUUUUUUUUUUUCUUUUUGUUUUAAAAAGAAAAAAAAACCUUGAAAAUGACAUUCAGCUAUUGUCAUUGGCUUGUGCCGAUCUACAAACAAUACACUUAAUACACUCUACACAUCUCAUCUCAAAUGUCAUAUUACUACUUAAUAAAACUUACUACUGUUCAACAACAAGACAAA